Molecule: ribosomal RNA, 255 nt
Filed under: uncultured bacterium
Lineage: Bacteria
Description: partial 16S ribosomal RNA
Rfam family: Bacterial small subunit ribosomal RNA
Source: RNAcentral
UACGUAGGGGGGCAAGCGUUGUCCGGAUUUAUUGGGCGUAAAGAGCGUGUAGGCGGCCACACAGGUCAGCUGUGAAAACUCGAGGCUCAACCUCGAGACGUCGGUUGAAACCGUAUGGCUAGAGUCCGGAAGAGGAGAGUGGAAUUCCCGGUGUAGCGGUGAAAUGCGCAGAUAUCGGGAAGAACACCCGUGGCGAAGGCGGCUCUCUGGGACGGUACUGACGCUGAGACGCGAAAGCGUGGGGGAGCGAGCAGG